RNAcentral lists this ribosomal RNA (253 nucleotides) under uncultured bacterium. RNAcentral's name for it is "partial 16S ribosomal RNA". It matches the Rfam family "Bacterial small subunit ribosomal RNA", at positions 524 to 776 of the family's 1533-position model. The record is from RNAcentral.
UACGUAGGGGGCUAGCGUUGUCCGGAAUCAUUGGGCGUAAAGCGCGUGUAGGCGGUCCGGUAAGUCCGCUGUGAAAGUCGGGGGCUCAACCCUCGGAUGCCGGUGGAUACUGUCGGGCUUGAGUACGGAAGAGGCGAGUGGAACUCCUGGUGUAGCGGUGAAAUGCGCAGAUAUCAGGAGGAACACCAAUUGCGAAGGCAGCUCGCUGGGACGUUACUGACGCUGAGACGCGAAAGCGUGGGGAGCAAACAGG